RNAcentral lists this ribosomal RNA (231 nucleotides) under uncultured bacterium. RNAcentral's name for it is "partial 16S ribosomal RNA". It matches the Rfam family "Bacterial small subunit ribosomal RNA", at positions 99 to 334 of the family's 1533-position model. The record is from RNAcentral.
CGCACGGGUGAGUAAUGCAUAGGUAACGUGCCCCUUAGUCUGGGAUAGCCACUGGAAACGGUGAUUAAUACUAGAUACGCCUUCUCUAUUAAUUAGAGUUGGGAAAGUUUUUCGCUAAGGGAUCGGCCUAUGUUGUAUCAGGUAGUUGGUGGGGUAAUGGCUCACCAAGCCAAUGACACAUAGCGGGUCUGAGAGGAUGAUCCGCCACACUGGUACUGAGACACGGACCAG